Molecule: ribosomal RNA, 951 nt
Filed under: uncultured bacterium
Lineage: Bacteria
Description: bacterial SSU rRNA
Rfam family: Bacterial small subunit ribosomal RNA
Source: RNAcentral
AGAGUUUGAUCAUGGCUCAGGAUGAACGCUGGCGGCGUGCUUAACACAUGCAAGUCGAACGAAUCAGCGAGUAGUGGGAGCCAAGCGGAAGCGUGGACGCGAGAAAUCGUACGAAGCGCAGAAGUGAGGAAGAAGCUAAAAGCUGGUUAGUGGCGAACGGGUGAGUAACACGUGGGUGACCUGCCUCAAAGCGGGGGAUAACUACCCGAAAGGGUAGCUAAUACCGCAUGUGCUUUACCAGUCAAAUGGUAAAGGGAAGGAGCGAUCCACUUUGAGAGGGGCCCGCGGCCUAUCAGCUAGUUGGUGAGGUAAAGGCUCACCAAGGCGAUGACGGGUAGCUGGUCUGAGAGGAUGAUCAGCCACACUGGCACUGAGAUACGGGCCAGACUCCUACGGGAGGCAGCAGUGAGGAGUAUUGCGCAACGGACGCAAGUCUGGCGCAGCAACGCCGCGUGGGCGAAGAAGGUCUUCGGAUCGUAAAGCCCUUUUCUAGAGGAAGAGGAAGGACGGUACUCUAGGAAUAAGUCUCGGCUAACUACGUGCCAGCAGCCGCGGUAAAACGUAGGAGACAAGCGUUAUCCGGAUUCAUUGGGCGUAAAGGGCAUGUAGGUGGAGCCUUAAGUUGGAUGUAAAAUCUCCUGGCUUAACUAGGAGGGGUCAUCCAAAACUGGGGCACUUGAGGGCAGGAGAGGGAAAUGGAAUUCCCGGUGUAGCGGUGGAAUGCGUAGAUAUCGGGAGGAACACCAGUGGCGAAAGCGGUUUCCUGGCCUGCAUCUGACACUAAUAUGCGAAAGCUAGGGGAGCAAACGGGAUUAGAUACCCCGGUAGUCCUAGCUGUAAACGAUGGAUACUAGUGUUGGUGGUAUCAACCCCACCAGUGCCGUAGUUAACACGUUAAGUAUCCCGCCUGGGGAGUACGACCGCAAGGUUAAAACUCAAAUGAAUUGACGG